RNAcentral lists this ribosomal RNA (411 nucleotides) under Ochmacanthus cf. orinoco SAS-2009. RNAcentral's name for it is "partial 12S ribosomal RNA". It matches the Rfam family "Bacterial small subunit ribosomal RNA", at positions 768 to 1382 of the family's 1533-position model. Lineage: Eukaryota; Metazoa; Chordata; Actinopteri; Siluriformes; Trichomycteridae. The record is from RNAcentral.
UAAACUGGGAUUAGAUACCCCACUAUGCUUAGCCAUAAUCACUAGAUGUUAACUUACAAAGACAUCCGCCCGGGUACUACGAGUACAACUUAAAACCCAAAGGACUUGGCGGUGCCUCAGAUCCCCCUAGAGGAGCCUGUUCUAGAACCGAUAACCCCCGUUCAACCUUACCAUCUCUUGUUUUUCCCGCCUAUAUACCGCCGUCGUCAGCUUACCCUAUGAAGGAGCAAUAGUAAGCAAAAUGAAUAAGAUUCAAAACGUCAGGUCGAGGUGUAGCGUACGAGAUGGAAAGAAAUGGGCUACAUUUUCUACUACAGAACACCACGAAUAGUGCUAUGAAACAAGCACUUGAAGGCGGAUUUAGCAGUAAAAAGCAAGCAGAGUGUACUUUUGAACUAGGCUCUGAGGCGC